CAAAUGACUCUCGGCAACGGAUAUCUCGGCUCACGCAUCGAUGAAGAACGUAGCAAAAUGCGAUACUUGGUGUGAAUUGCAGAAUCCCGUGAACCAUCGAGUUUUUGAACGCAAGUUGCGCCCGAAGCCAUUUGGUUGAGGGCACGUCUGCCUGGGCGUCACGCA
This 165-nucleotide ribosomal RNA is filed under the name Pseudognaphalium affine. RNAcentral describes it as "5.8S ribosomal RNA". It matches the Rfam family "5.8S ribosomal RNA". From Rfam's summary of the family: 5.8S ribosomal RNA (5.8S rRNA) is a component of the large subunit of the eukaryotic ribosome. It is transcribed by RNA polymerase I as part of the 45S precursor that also contains 18S and 28S rRNA. RNAcentral also lists the same sequence under 1 other name. The record is from RNAcentral. Lineage: Eukaryota; Viridiplantae; Streptophyta; Magnoliopsida; Asterales; Asteraceae.